RNAcentral lists this ribosomal RNA (467 nucleotides) under uncultured bacterium. RNAcentral describes it as "partial 16S ribosomal RNA". It matches the Rfam family "Bacterial small subunit ribosomal RNA", at positions 28 to 507 of the family's 1533-position model. The record is from RNAcentral.
GACGAACGCUGGCGGCGUGCUUAACACAUGCAAGUCGAACGGAAAGGCCCUGCUUUUGUGGGGUGCUCGAGUGGCGAACGGGUGAGUAACACGUGAGUAACCUGCCCUUGACUUUGGGAUAACUUCAGGAAACUGGGGCUAAUACCGGAUAGGAGCUCCUGCUGCAUGGUGGGGGUUGGAAAGUUUCGGCGGUUGGGGAUGGACUCGCGGCUUAUCAGCUUGUUGGUGGGGUAGUGGCUUACCAAGGCUUUGACGGGUAGCCGGCCUGAGAGGGUGACCGGCCACAUGGGGACUGAGAUACGGCCCAGACUACUACGGGAGGCAGCAGUGGGAAUAUUGCACAAUGGGCGGAAGCCUGAUGCAGCAACGCCGCGUGCGGGAUGACGGCCUUCGGGUUGUAAACCGCUUUCGCCUGUGACGAAGCGUGAGUGACGGUAAUGGGUAAAGAAGCACCGGCUAACUACGUG